RNAcentral lists this ribosomal RNA (450 nucleotides) under uncultured bacterium. Its description in RNAcentral is "partial 16S ribosomal RNA". It matches the Rfam family "Bacterial small subunit ribosomal RNA", at positions 354 to 796 of the family's 1533-position model. The record is from RNAcentral.
GUGGGGAAUAUUCCGCAAUGGACGAAAGUCUGACGGAGCAACGCCGCGUGAGUGAUGAAGGUUUUCGGACUGUAAAGCUCUGUUGUUUAGGACGAAAGUGCCUGUUGCAAAUAGUUACAGGUAUUGACGGUACUGAACGAGGAAGCCACGGCUAACUACGUGCCAGCAGCCGCGGUAAUACGUAGGUGGCAAGCGUUGUCCGGAAUUAUUGGGCGUAAAGCGCAUGUAGGCGGGAAUCUAAGUCUGUUGUGAAAAUGCGGGGCUCAACCCCGUAUUGCGAUGGAAACUGGGUUUCUUGGGUGCAGGAGAGGAAAGGGGAAUUCCCAGUGUAGCGGUGAAAUGCGUAGAUAUUGGGAGGAACACCAGUGGCGAAGGCGCCUUUCUGGACUGUGUCUGACGCUGAGAUGCGAAAGCCAGGGUAGCGAACGGGAUUAGAAACCCGAGUAGUCC